GAUGAAGAACGCAGCGAAGUGCGAUAAGUAAUGUGAAUUGCAGAAUUCAGUGAAUCAUCGAAUCUUUGAACGCAUCUUGCGCUCCUUGGUAUUCCUUGGAGCAUGCCUGUUUGAGUAUCAUGAGCAAAUCUCAAAGUCAAUUCCUUUUGUUGAUUCAAUUGGUUUUGCUUUGGACUUGGAGGCCUUGCAGAUUUCACAGUCUGCUCCUCUUAAAUGCAUUAGCUGGAUCUCAGUAAUUAUGCUUGGUUCCACUCGGCGUGAUAAGUAUCACUCGCUGAGGACACUGUUAAAAAGGUGGCCAGGAAAAUACUGAUUGAACCGCUUCUAACGGUCUAUUAAGUUAGACAAUUACCCUUAAGUUUGAUCUCAAAUCAGGUAGGACUACCCGCUGAACUUAAGCAUAUCAAUAAGCGGAGGA
This 418-nucleotide unclassified non-coding RNA is filed under the name soil metagenome. Its description in RNAcentral is "partial contains 5.8S ribosomal RNA, internal transcribed spacer 2, and large subunit ribosomal RNA". The stretch from base 1 to 120 matches the Rfam family "5.8S ribosomal RNA", at positions 35 to 154 of the family's 154-position model. The record is from RNAcentral.